AAGAAGGGUAAGUUAAUUAAACUAUUUGGUUCAUGCCCAGAAAAUACAAGGUUUUGUCCUUUCUU
RNAcentral lists this transfer RNA (65 nucleotides) under Paramphistomum leydeni. RNAcentral describes it as "tRNA-Met". Lineage: Eukaryota; Metazoa; Platyhelminthes; Trematoda; Plagiorchiida; Paramphistomidae. The record is from RNAcentral.